This 849-nucleotide long non-coding RNA is filed under the name Vigna radiata. RNAcentral describes it as "long non-coding RNA (VRAD_LNC015875)". Lineage: Eukaryota; Viridiplantae; Streptophyta; Magnoliopsida; Fabales; Fabaceae. The record is from RNAcentral.
CACGAUCUUCUAAUUCUAAUAAGAACAAGAAAUCUUUCGCGAUCAAUCCUUUUGCCCCAUUCUUCAAUAAUCAGAAAGAUCCUUUUCAANCAAGUUUNAAUUUUUUCGNUUGGAAUCAGGNCUCUUCUACUGCNNUUUUAUUUACUUUCUUUUUUUCUUUUCUUUCAUCAUUCCUUAACUCCCACAAGGUUUGGUCCUGUAGAAUCUGACCCAUUUCAUCAUUGAGCGAAAAGUACGAAAAAAAUCAGAUCGAUUUUUCGAUCAAAAGUACUAUGUGAAGUAAGGUACAUUUUAGUCCUCCUCCUUAAAGAAACUUUAAUUUUAAUAAUCCAAAACUAACACCGUUAAAAACUAGCUGAUGUGGCUAACGGUGUAAUGACAUGUCAUUUUUUUUUUCUGAGUAAUUUUUACAGUUUUUCUCCCUCCUUCACUGGCGUCGUCUUCUUGCAUCUUCGUCCCCUUCCACCGCCCUCCCUCGUCAACUCUUUUUCCACCCCACAAUUUUCACCAACAUGAACCUCCUCCACCAUGCCAACAUCGACAGUCCUACUUCCACUAGCAUCGCCACUGCCACUAUUUCCAAAGAAACUAUUGUCACUUUUCAUGUUUGUUCCUCCAGCAUUAACUGUUCUGUUGCUCCCAUUUUGGCCAUUGCUUCCAUUGUUGCUUCCUGAAACACUUCUAUUCAUUGUUGCUUCCAUUGUUGUUGUGUAACCAACUUUCCAUUCAUUCACAAGCAGAAAAAGAAACCCAAUGAAACAUUAACCAAACCUGAAGGGAUAAAUUGUGGAAUUGGAUCAGGAGUCUGAUUGAAAGAAACCCCACAAAUUCAAUUUCAAAGAAACAAAC